Non-coding RNA from Cinara cedri, 250 nucleotides. NCBI's taxonomy places the organism in Eukaryota, Metazoa, Arthropoda, Insecta, Hemiptera, Aphididae. The record is from the annotation of a GenBank genome assembly.
UGUUCCUGUAGUCGUCCAGCCAGUGUCUAUAUAUUAGAAUAUUGUGUGCUCAAUGAUAGUAACAUAAUUUCGAUUUCUAAAAUUAUCAUUAAUCAACAUUUUUAGAAAAAAUGGCUAUAACAUUUUUAUGUGUCUGUCUAGAUAAUCGGCAGCAGCAUAAUAUUAUGUUUAGCGCUGUUGAUAUACUAGAUAUCGAACAUGAGGUUUUCGCCUUCGAAUCGGGGACUAGUAAAAAAUAAAAAAUGCAUCA